UACAGAGGUCUCAACCGUUGUUCGGAAUUACUGGGCGUAAAGGGUUCGUAGGUGGCUUGCUAAGUCAGACGUGAAAUCCCUCAGCUUAACUGGGGAACUGCGUCUGAUACUGGCGAGCUUGAGUGCAGGAGAGGAACGCGGAAUUCCAGGUGUAGCGGUGAAAUGCGUAGAUAUCUGGAGGAACACCGGUGGCGAAGGCGGCGUUCUGGACUGCAACUGACACUGAUGAACGAAAGCCAGGGGAGCAAACGGG
This 253-nucleotide ribosomal RNA is filed under the name uncultured bacterium. Its description in RNAcentral is "partial 16S ribosomal RNA". It matches the Rfam family "Bacterial small subunit ribosomal RNA", at positions 524 to 776 of the family's 1533-position model. The record is from RNAcentral.